This 152-nucleotide unclassified non-coding RNA is filed under the name Marvinbryantia formatexigens. RNAcentral's name for it is "Clostridiales-1 RNA". The record is from RNAcentral. Lineage: Bacteria; Bacillati; Bacillota; Clostridia; Lachnospirales; Lachnospiraceae.
UGAUGCCCAGGGUUCAAAAGUCAUGUAUUUCACGCUUGCGUGAAAAAACAUGACGUUGGAACCCGUAAAACAUGAAUUGGCAAAGAGGGGGUGAACUAUGGAGAGCGUAAAAACAGCCUGGCGGUCGUUUGACAGCCGGCAUCCGGGCAUCG